This 504-nucleotide ribosomal RNA is filed under the name uncultured bacterium. Its description in RNAcentral is "partial 16S ribosomal RNA". It matches the Rfam family "Bacterial small subunit ribosomal RNA", at positions 28 to 523 of the family's 1533-position model. The record is from RNAcentral.
GAUGAACGCUAGCCACAGGCUUAACACAUGCAAGUCGAGGGGCAGCAUAAAUCUAGCAAUAGAUUUGAUGGCGACCGGCGCACGGGUGAGUAACACGUAUCCAACCUACCUAUUACUCGGGCAUAGCCUUUCGAAAGAAAGAUUAAUCCCCGAUACGAUAUUGAGUUCGCAUGAAUUUGAUAUGAAAGAUUUAUUGGUAUUAGAUGGGGAUGCGUUCCAUUAGAUUGUUGGUGAGGUAACGGCUCACCAAGUCUUCGAUGGAUAGGGGUUCUGAGAGGAAGGUCCCCCACACUGGAACUGAGACACGGUCCAGACUCCUACGGGAGGCAGCAGUGAGGAAUAUUGGUCAAUGGGCGAGAGCCUGAACCAGCCAAGUAGCGUGAGGGAUGACUGCCCUAUGGGUUGUAAACCUCUUUUAUAAGGGAAUAAAACGCUCCACGAGUGGAGCUUUGCAUGUACCUUUUGAAUAAGGAUCGGCUAACUCCGUGCCAGCCGCCGCCGUAA